GACAUAUUUGUCUAUCAUGUUACAUUCGCCCAUCAUCUUUACUGAUGAAUAUUCUGAUUUACCAAUUGAACAAACAUUAAAAUUGAAUUGAAAUGUCAUGCAAAAAGAUUUGAAAGAAAAAUUGAUAGAAGGUGAAAAGAAAAUACAGAAGGAAUAUAUAGAUGGUAACUUAUUUGAAAGUUUCAAACACCUAAUGACCCACCUGCGAUGGGUUGGUGGAUAGAGUGCAUUUCAACAUUGAGUUCAUGGGUUCGGGCCUUUUUUUUUUUUUGAGAUAUAACUGAAAAUUUAUUAGAACACCUGCUGAAAAGUGGGAAAAGAACACAACACAACACUAAUGUUCAAAAAGAGAAGAAAAGUUUGCAGCCUUUGCUGCAUUUACAUAUAGAGCCAAUCCAUAACAGAACCUUUACCUUUGAUAAUCACCCCAUCCACUGAGGACCUCUCAUUUUUGAAACAACGAUCAUUCUGCUCCUUCCAUUAAUGCGGGGGCAUUUUCACACCGGGCUCGAGUGGGGUGGCCUGUGGGAUGUAGGGGCACACUCGGGGUAAGCGGCCCGCAGAACCCAUGGAUUUGGGGCCCACGAUGAGGGUUUGGCCGAUGAUCUAACCCAUGGACUUGGGGCCUGAGCUAUGAGAUAAAUAGAUUAAUUCGCCAUGCUCUAUCAGUUCAAACUUUUAGAGCAAGUGGUUAAUUGUCCUGCAUCGAAUUAGUAUCAGAGCAGAAGGUCUUGUGUUCGAGACUCCUCACCGAGGGUGAUUAAUGCAGAGGCAUUUUCACACCGGGCUUGAGUGGGGUGGCCUGUAGGAUGUAGGGGCACACUUGGGGUGGGUGGCCCGCUAGCAAUGGAUAGAUAGGUGGUCAAUUGUCUCUGCAUUUUUCUUACACACUAGACAUAUAUUAGGAAGGACUAGAGACCUUGUCUGAAAAUUAGCAAUAGUCAGAACUCUCUUUCUUCCAACCAGUCACUUGAAAACUGUAACACAAGGAGGGGUUCUGUAGAACCGAUGAUGGAAUGGAUGAGAAGGGGCUAGGUUUGCGAAACGGAUCAUUUAAUAAGCUGAAAAAUGAGCGAAUGGAGGAGGAUGAUUAUCCAUGUUACCUAUCAUAAAAAAAAAAGAA
Molecule: long non-coding RNA, 1123 nt
Organism: Magnolia sinica
Lineage: Eukaryota; Viridiplantae; Streptophyta; Magnoliopsida; Magnoliales; Magnoliaceae
Exons: 2
Source: RefSeq, a predicted model, not a curated record